ACUGGGGUGAAGUCGUAACAAGGUAGCCGUAGGAGAACCUGCGGCUGGAUCACCUCCUUUCUAAGGAAGC
Molecule: ribosomal RNA, 70 nt
Filed under: Lactobacillus helveticus
Lineage: Bacteria; Bacillati; Bacillota; Bacilli; Lactobacillales; Lactobacillaceae
Description: partial 16S ribosomal RNA
Rfam family: Bacterial small subunit ribosomal RNA (bases 1-60)
Source: RNAcentral